AUUACCGAGUGAGGGCCCUCUGGGUCCAACCUCCCACCCGUGUUUAACGAACCUUGUUGCUUCGGCGGGCCCGCCUCACGGCCGCCGGGGGGCAUCCGCCCCCGGGCCCGCGCCCGCCGAAGACACCUGUGAACACUGUCUGAAGUUGCAGUCUGAGAAACUAGCUAAAUUAGUUAAAACUUUCAACAACGGAUCUCUUGGUUCCGGCAUCGAUGAAGAACGCAGCGAAAUGCGAUAAAUAAUGUGAAUUGCAGAAUUCAGUGAAUCAUCGAGUCUUUGAACGCACAUUGCGCCCUCUGGUAUUCCGGAGGGCAUGCCUGUCCGAGCGUCAUUGCUGCCCUCAAGCACGGCUUGUGUGUUGGGCCCCCGUCCCCCCGCCAGGGGGGACGGGCCCGAAAGGCAGCGGCGGCACCGCGUCCGGUCCUCGAGCGUAUGGGGCUCUGUCACCCGCUCUUGUAGGCCCGGCCGGCGCCAGCCGACCCCCCUCAAUCUAUUUUUUCAGGUUGACCUCGGAUCAGGUAGGGAUACCCGCUGAACUUAAGCAUAUCAAUAA
This 553-nucleotide unclassified non-coding RNA is filed under the name Penicillium sp. 7 DT-2020. RNAcentral's name for it is "sequence contains ITS1, 5.8S rRNA gene, ITS2". The stretch from base 178 to 331 matches the Rfam family "5.8S ribosomal RNA". The record is from RNAcentral. Lineage: Eukaryota; Fungi; Ascomycota; Eurotiomycetes; Eurotiales; Aspergillaceae.